AAGUCGUAACAAGGUUUCCGUAGGUGAACCUGCGGAAGGAUCAUUAACACGUAUCCAAACGUUAAAACACCCCCCGUGAACCUGAGCCUGGAAAAUUGUAGUGAUUCAGAGACCUCUGGCUACGUGAGAUCGAGCGGUAGUUCUAGAGGCAAUGUUUCCCCAAGCAGUCAGUGUCGGAAAGUGUCAUUGAUUGUGCAAAGAUAGCGCUUCUACGAUUCCUGUAGACCGUACACUCGGGCAGGAGCUUUGCCAAAGGGUCCCAUGCCCCCUAAUAACCCCACAGUUUAAUGUGAAGCUCAAUGUAAUACAUUGGGUAAAAAAACCGAACAACUGUUAACAAUGGAUAUCUUGGUUCGC
Molecule: unclassified non-coding RNA, 357 nt
Filed under: fungal sp.
Lineage: Eukaryota; Fungi
Description: partial internal transcribed spacer region
Rfam family: Eukaryotic small subunit ribosomal RNA (bases 1-46)
Source: RNAcentral